CUUGGCACGCUGGGGGCUCAGCGGGGAGGCGCGGGCCGAACCUGCCGCGGUCUGAGCUGGGACGCGUUUUUGAGCCUGCGUUUUUGAGCCGACUUUUAAAUUAGUAUGUUAUAGCAAACCACAGCUCUUACAGGACGACCUAGGAAUGCUCAUUUUCGUUUCCAAAGCUGUCAAGUCUUGCUCAUGCGCAGGCAUAAUCUUCAAUGCCAGUGGCUUUGCCAUGGGUCAGGCUCUGUUCCUAGUCCGCCUUGAAGCCCUGCAUCACCUGCCGUGGGCAGCCCCGAUUUCAGCAGAAAGGUCAAUAGAGCCUCAGUGUCUGGCAGCAGCAAAUGCGCAGCUGCAGAUCACUAUUAACUUGUGGCUUUUCUUGGGACAAUGGCUGGGUAUCCUUGCAGUUAAAAUAAAACGCUUCAUGAAGGUAAGAAGCUGGUACUAUAUAGUAAACAAGUUUGAGAAAUGCACUGGGCUACGCUCUUCAGAAACAGCAACCAAACUGUAGGAAGACACCAAUGGGACAGUGUGUCUAGAGAAGAGAGAUGGUAUAGCAACAUUAACUUGGUUCUAUGCUCAGCUCUGUAUUGAACUAUAUGUUCUGCUGAAGACUUAGAAUACAUAAAUUAUGUCUAUAUUGGUAAACUUAACAGCUUCAGGGCUUGUUUUCUUGCCCUGAGACGACCUUGCGGAGUUUAUGUAUGUCCAUACCGUUAAAUUUCUAGCGUUCAUAAUACAAUGCCUGCAUUCGUUAGCACAGGCCUGUGCUAAUUUUUGGACUGUACUGGGAACUCUGUCUGGGCUCAGCUCGUAACCUCACAGCUAAGUCUGUGGCAGGGACCUUAGCGGUGUGGAUGGCUGAGAUAGCGCCCGCGCUGUGCCCUGGCAGCGUUUAGCUAGCUGGUGUAGCUGUGGCUGUGCGGCUCCAGCGGUUCUAAGACGUCUGUAACUGAUGUUUGUCACAGCUGGUUCGGACAUGAGAACAAAUGCAGUAGUACUUGCUUUGGAUAUGCAUCGUUAUCAUAUGUGAACUGAUGUUCACAGUGCUUGUGGUUGAAGGGGGCUGGUACGUAAUGUUAUGUCUGCGCUCAUGGACGUGGUAACAAGGCUUGCGCUAUGCAGCAGAGAAGUUCUGCGCUUUCUUUUUGGUUCCUGAGGUAUUUGAGUUGAUCUUCCUCUUGCUUCUGUUCGGUACGGUCCUCGUGAUCCAGCCCCCUAAAGCGGGAAAGGAUCAGUAGAACAGCAGAGCGCCCUGCGCACCUUUCUGCUCUGAUACGUGGCAGCGCCCUGUAACUUGCAGGCUGCCAUGGUGUUAGCGGCCUGCUUAAACCAGGGCAAGAAAUGCUGUUGCUGGACGUAAGCCACAGACAAGCCGUCCUUGUGCUUCGUGUGUGGAGAAAGCAUACACUGUCAUGUGCCAAGUUUGAAGAAAUUUGUUAUUUGUUUUUUCGUGGGAAGUCCCCAAGUGUGACUUGACAAAAUAUUUUUCUGCUGUGCAGCUUCAAAACAUUGAGGCUUAGGAGUUGAGUGAAUACGGACUGAGAGCUGUCGCAGGAGUCUGUCUCUUUAUAAAUGCUCUUUGGCCAGGAUAUCCUAAAACUGAAAAAGCAAAAUUUCAUGCUACCUGUUGAUGAGAUCAAGAUACUGGCACCUUUUUUUCUUUUUUGUGCUGAUUUUCUGUUGAGUUAAACUGACUUUUUUUUUUUUGGCUGUGGAGGGUGAAGAAUUUUAGUGAGAGAGCGCAUUUGGGUAAGCAAAUAAAUAUGAACAUGUUGCAAUGAAUUCCUUGAAG
Long non-coding RNA from Struthio camelus australis, 1783 nucleotides. The record is from Ensembl. NCBI's taxonomy places the organism in Eukaryota, Metazoa, Chordata, Aves, Struthioniformes, Struthionidae.